This 498-nucleotide ribosomal RNA is filed under the name uncultured bacterium. Its description in RNAcentral is "partial 16S ribosomal RNA". It matches the Rfam family "Bacterial small subunit ribosomal RNA", at positions 30 to 523 of the family's 1533-position model. The record is from RNAcentral.
AUUGAACGCUGGCGGCAUGCCUUACACAUGCAAGUCGAACGGUAACAGGUCUUCGGAUGCUGACGAGUGGCGAACGGGUGAGUAAUACAUCGGAACGUGCCUAGUAGUGGGGGAUAACUACUCGAAAGAGUGGCUAAUACCGCAUGAGAUCUACGGAUGAAAGCAGGGGAUCGCAAGACCUUGUGCUACUAGAGCGGCCGAUGGCAGAUUAGGUAGUUGGUGGGAUAAAAGCUUACCAAGCCGACGAUCUGUAGCUGGUCUGAGGGGACGAUCAGCCACACUGGGACUGAGACACGGCCCAGACUCCUACGGGAGGCAGCAGUGGGGAAUUUUGGACAAUGGGCGAAGGCCUGAUCCAGCAAUGCCGCGUGCAGGAUGAAGGCCUUCGGGUUGUAAACUGCUUUUGUACGGAACGAAAAGCCCCGGGUUAAUACCCUGGGGUCAUGACGGUACCGUAAGAAUAAGCACCGGCUAACUACGUGCCAGCCGCCGCAGUAA